Molecule: ribosomal RNA, 227 nt
Filed under: uncultured bacterium
Lineage: Bacteria
Description: partial 16S ribosomal RNA
Rfam family: Bacterial small subunit ribosomal RNA
Source: RNAcentral
CGCGUCUGCCGUGAAAGUCCGGGGCUCAACUCCGGAUCUGCGGUGGGUACGGGCAGACUAGAGUGAUGUAGGGGAGACUGGAAUUCCUGGUGUAGCGGUGAAAUGCGCAGAUAUCAGGAGGAACACCGAUGGCGAAGGCAGGUCUCUGGGCAUUAACUGACGCUGAGGAGCGAAAGCAUGGGGAGCGAACAGGAUUAGAUACCCUGGUAGUCCAUGCCGUAAACGUU